CCUACGGGUGGCAGCAGUGGGGAAUAUUGCACAAUGGGGGAAACCCUGAUGCAGCGACGCCGCGUGAGUGAAGAAGGAAUUCGGUAUGUAAAGCUCUAUCAGUAGGGAAGAAAAUGACGGUACCUGUGUAAGAAGCCCCGGCUAACUACGUGCCAGCAGCCGCGGUAAUACGUAGGGGGCGAGCGUUAGCCGGAUUUACUGGGGGGAAAGGGAGCGUAGACGGCAGUGCAAGUCUGGAGUGAAAGGCGGGGGCUCAACCCCCGGACUGCUCUGGAGACUGUACGGCUGGAGUGCAGGAGAGGUAAGUGGAAUUCCUAGUGUAGCGGUGAAAUGCGUAGAUAUGAGGAGGAACACCGGUGGCGAAGGCGGCUUACUGGACAGUAACUGACGUUGAGGCUCGAAAGCGUGGGGAGCAAACAGGAUUAGAUACCCGUGUAGUC
Molecule: ribosomal RNA, 440 nt
Filed under: uncultured bacterium
Lineage: Bacteria
Description: partial 16S ribosomal RNA
Rfam family: Bacterial small subunit ribosomal RNA
Source: RNAcentral